Molecule: long non-coding RNA, 762 nt
Organism: Macrobrachium nipponense
Lineage: Eukaryota; Metazoa; Arthropoda; Malacostraca; Decapoda; Palaemonidae
Exons: 2
Source: RefSeq, a predicted model, not a curated record
AUAGGGAGGAGCUGCAGGGGCGUGGCCCCUGGAGUACUGACUGUGGCUAGUAUAAAGAGACCUCACAACGACUGACAGGCACAUACAGAUUUCCCUUCGCAUAACAAGGGUAGCUGCUUUCGACAUGGCUUGUAUCAAACUCUUGGUUUUCGUCUUAACCACUUUGGCUCUGCUGCCUUUGGUCUCCGUCAAAGCCAAGCCGCACAAUGUGCCCUCAGGAUAUUAUUAUGCCCAGCACUCCUCAUACCGUAGUCCACACGGCCUUUACUACCGCCCAUAUCACCCUUACGCCCCUGCAUCCACCAGCUACUACAAUUACCCUUCUUACAGCUACGUCCACUCCCAUCAGACCAGAAAUGCUGAGAAAAAGUAGGCAGCUGUUAUCGUCAAUGUACUGAUAUUCUUCGAAGAGUCGACCAUCAGACGCCCUUAUGUGAAUGUAUUUUUUUUUUUUAUAUUGAGUUCAAGUUUUGUUUUACAAAAAUUUACUCUGGGAAAUAUGAUUUUGUAUCACCACACUGCCAAACAAAUUCACUGAAUAUCCUUUUAAAAAGUAACAAGUCCAGAAUGAGAACAAAUUAUGCUUUAGAUAAAUGUACAAAUAUACUUCAUAAAGACUUCUUCCCUUCUUCUUUUGAACGCAAAAACAUUUUAUGAUUAGAGCAAGUCUGAAAGAAUUAGCCUGAACUCAUGAGAUAAGUACAUUCUCAUAACUACGUAUUUGUAGUAUGUGUAAAAGUUACAAUAAAAUUUCUUACAAUG